RNAcentral lists this ribosomal RNA (465 nucleotides) under uncultured bacterium. RNAcentral's name for it is "partial 16S ribosomal RNA". It matches the Rfam family "Bacterial small subunit ribosomal RNA", at positions 28 to 507 of the family's 1533-position model. The record is from RNAcentral.
GACGAACGCUGGCGGCGUGCUUAACACAUGCAAGUCGAACGGAAAGGCCCUGCUUGCAGGGUACUCGAGUGGCGAACGGGUGAGUAACACGUGGGUGAUCUGCCCUGCACUUCGGGAUAAGCUUGGGAAACUGGGUCUAAUACCGGAUAGGAGCCAUCUUUAGUGUGGUGGUUGGAAAGUUUUUUCGGUGUAGGAUGAGCUCGCGGCCUAUCAGCUUGUUGGUGGGGUAAUGGCCUACCAAGGCGGCGACGGGUAGCCGGCCUGAGAGGGUGUACGGCCACAUUGGGACUGAGAUACGGCCCAGACUCCUACGGGAGGCAGCAGUGGGGAAUAUUGCACAAUGGGCGCAAGCCUGAUGCAGCGACGCCGCGUGGGGGAGGAAGGCCUUCGGGUUGUAAACGCCUUUCGCUAGGGACGAAGCUUUUUGUGACGGUACCUAGAUAAGAAGCACCGGCUAACUACGUG